UCAAAUUAAUAAAUUAUUCGAACAAAAAUGAUAUAAUAUGACGUAAUUAUAGAUUACAACAUGUUUCAUACAUAUACAUUACAUACUAUAAUAGCGUUGCCGCCGUUUCAGUGUUCAUUAUAGUUUAUAUAGCAGUACCAUAAUUUUCGUUUAAACUAUUUGAAUUUGUUUACAGUCAGUUUGUUCAUUAGUCAUUAAGGUAUAUCUUAAAUCGUGACAGUAAUAUCUAAAUCGGAUUUGUUCUUUGUAUUUCCAAAUUUAUUUUGUGAAAUACUGUUAUGAGUAAUCCUAAUCAAAAUAAAUGGAGAAGUGGCAGAUAUUGGAAAAAGUAUGCAAAUAAAAACAAUCAACCAAAAAAUACUAAUAACGUUGAAUGUGAUGUGAAUAUUAAUAUUGAGAAUUUGCAAGAGUGUCCAUUUCAUGGAUGGCAGCUUUAUUUUCCAAAUGAAAAAUAUGAUGAAAAUAGCAUAACAGUGAAAUGUAUUUUUGCUUGUGAAUUAUUUUUAAAUACACACGAACAAAAUAUUUCUAUUGAACAACUUGUAGAAAAUAAAUCAUAUCUUUUGAAUGUAGAUUCUUUAAACCAAGAUGAAGAUUUCACCUCAGUCUGGUCACAUUUUUGGGACGAUUUAACGAAUCACCCAAAUUACACAUUAAAAUGUUUAGGACUUGCUAUUCAUCAUUAUGCAUUAGAAGAAUUAAAUAAAAAUAUUCAUGAUGAUUGUACUAAAUUCAAAAAUUUACCAAUGAUUCAUCCCAGAAUUUUAAAUUUUGGUCCAAUAUUUCAUUUGAAAAAUUUAAGAGCUGAUACUGAUGGAAAACUAAUUUUAGUUCACGGGACUGUAAUAAAAGCCAGUAGUUUGAAAUUUCAAUGUUUGUGGUUAGGAUUUGUGUGCAAUACUUGUGGCUCAAUUCAAAAUAUUAAACAAUCUGAUGGUGUAUUUUCAAAACCAAAACAAUGUAGCAAUGCUGUAUGCCGUAUCCGUUCAUUUUCAAUAUGCAGAAAUUCACCACUUACUCAAACAAUUAACUGUCAAACUAUUAGAGUUCAAGAAUUACAAAGUGAUGACCAGAGAGAAAGUGGUAGAGUACCCAGAACUGUUGAAUGUGAACUUACAAAUGAUUUGGUUUAUACUUGUAUUCCUGGAGAUGUUGUUAGUGUUACCGGUAUUGUAAAAAAGAAAUCAUGUAAUUCUGGUAAACAAAAUGCUCAAAGUAAAGAAUCUAAUGUUUUUAUGCAAUAUAUUGAAGUAGUAUCUAUACAAAACAAUAAAAACCAGUCUAAAGGAAAAGUUACAAGUACUGCAUUUCAAUUUACGAUGAGAGAUUAUUACUGUAUCCAAAAACUCCAUUCAAAACCAUAUCUUUUUGAAUUAAUGGUAAAUUCAAUAUGUCCGGGUAUUUAUGGUCAUGAAAUGGUGAAAGCUGGUAUGUUGCUUUCUCUAUUUGGUGGAAGUAAUUGUGCUUUAAAUCAAACACGUGGAGAUAUUCAUAUUUUAGUCAUUGGUGAUCCUGGCCUUGGAAAAUCACAAAUGCUUCAGUCUGUAUGUAAUAUUUCACCACGAGGUGUGUUUGUUUGUGGAAGUACAUGUUCAUCAGCUGGACUAACUGUUAGUCUAACUCGAGAAAAAGGUAUUGAUUUUUCUUUAGAAGCUGGAGCUGUUGUUUUGGCUGAUCAAGGUGUGUGUUGUAUUGAUGAAUUUGAUAAAAUGACUCAAGAUCAUAAUACAUUAUUGGAAGCUAUGGAACAACAAACAAUAAGUAUUGCUAAAGGUGGAGUUAUUUGUUCUUUACCUUGCCGAACUACUAUAAUGGCUGCAGCAAAUCCAAUUAGUGGACACUAUGACCAAAAUAAAAGUGUAUUAGAGAAUUUGAAAAUGAGUCAAGCAAUGUUAUCUCGUUUUGAUUUAAUUUUUUUACUUAUAGACACACCCAAUGAAUUGACUGAUAAACAUCUAACUGAACAUGUGCUUAAUAUACAUUCAAAUAAACUGAAGCACACCCAGAAUAUUAACAAUUCUGAUGAAAUUAAUAAUUCAUUGAAAGAACGAUUUUCACAAUUUAGUAAAAGUAGCGAUUAUAUUUCUCAAGCAGAAUUACGUAAAUAUAUAGCAUAUGCAAGAAAAUAUGUUUCAUCUCCAACUUUAUCAAAUGAAGCCAAAGAAAUGUUACAACAGUUUUUUAUUGAAUUACGUACUAAAAAUUUAAGCUAUGGUAUUCCAAUAACUGUAAGACAAUUAGAGUCUUGUAUUAGACUUGCACAAGCACGUGCCAAAGUAGAACUUCGAGAAGAAGUAACUGCAAAAGAUGCAUAUGAAGUAAUUGAACUGAUUAAUUUUAGUCUUGUAAAAACUCAAUGCGAUGAAUUUAGUGGAUUUGGAUUUAAGAAAAGUAUGAAAAAAACUGGAAUUCGUGCUCAGUCAAGGAAAUUAUUAGCUGAGUUACAAAGACAUGAUGGACAGAUCUAAAUUGUGUGGAUGUAAAGGAGUUAGAACUUGUUUUGUAUGUGAAAAAGAAUUUAAAUUAACUCCUACUGUUAAUUCUGCAAAUUUAAAAAAAUUAUUAAGUGCGUCUUAUUGUUUAUACUGUAAUUUAUUAUGGAGUGGUUGGAAUGCAUAUGAAUAUAAAAACCAUCCAAAUCAUACUGGUACAUCAUACCAUUUAGAUGGCAUUUUCAUUGAACAUGAGUUUAUCACAGA
This 2699-nucleotide unclassified non-coding RNA is filed under the name Rhopalosiphum maidis (corn leaf aphid). RNAcentral's name for it is "dNA helicase MCM8-like, transcript variant X5". The record is from RNAcentral. Lineage: Eukaryota; Metazoa; Arthropoda; Insecta; Hemiptera; Aphididae.